ACGAACGCUGGCGGCAGGCUUAACACAUGCAAGUCGAACGCAUCGCAAGAUGAGUGGCAGACGGGUGAGUAACGCGUGGGAAUCUACCCAACCCUACGGAAUAGCUCCGGGAAACUGGAAUUAAUACCGUAUACGCCCUUCGGGGGAAAGAUUUAUCGGGGAUGGAUGAGCCCGCGUUGGAUUAGCUAGUUGGUGGGGUAAAGGCCUACCAAGGCGACGAUCCAUAGCUGGUCUGAGAGGAUGAUCAGCCACAUUGGGACUGAGACACGGCCCAAACUCCUACGGGAGGCAGCAGUGGGGAAUAUUGGACAAUGGGCGCAAGCCUGAUCCAGCCAUGCCGCGUGAGUGAUGAAGGUCUUAGGAUUGUAAAGCUCUUUCACCGGAGAAGAUAAUGACGGUAUCCGGAGAAGAAGCCCCGGCUAACUUCGU
RNAcentral lists this ribosomal RNA (429 nucleotides) under uncultured bacterium. RNAcentral's name for it is "bacterial SSU rRNA". It matches the Rfam family "Bacterial small subunit ribosomal RNA", at positions 29 to 506 of the family's 1533-position model. The record is from RNAcentral.